Molecule: long non-coding RNA, 205 nt
Filed under: Elaeis guineensis (African oil palm)
Lineage: Eukaryota; Viridiplantae; Streptophyta; Magnoliopsida; Arecales; Arecaceae
Description: long non-coding RNA (EGUI_LNC056986)
Source: RNAcentral
UGGCACUAUAGGCUAGGUCAUAUUAAUAAGAACAGGAUAAACAAGCUGACAUAAGAGAAAAUCUUUGAAGUCAGUGAUUAUGAAUCACUGCCAACUUAUGAGUCUUGUCUUCUUAGAAAGAUGAUCAAAUCAUCUUUUAAUAAAAAAAGUUAUUGAGUUUCAAUCACGCAGUAAAAAAUAAAUUUUAAAAAUUUUAAAAUAUGCA